AUAUCCUACGGGACGCAGCAGUGGGGAAUAUUGCACAAUGGGGGAAACCCUGAUGCAGCAACGCCGCGUGAGUGAUGACGGCCUUCGGGUUGUAAAGCUCUGUCUUCAGGGACGAUAAUGACGGUACCUGAGGAGGAAGCCACGGCUAACUACGUCCCAGCAGCCGCGGCAAUACGUAGGUGGCGAGCGUUGUCCGGAUUUACUGGGCGUAAAGGGAGCGUAGGCGGAUUUUUAAGUGAGAUGUGAUAUACUCGGG
This 256-nucleotide ribosomal RNA is filed under the name uncultured bacterium. RNAcentral describes it as "partial 16S ribosomal RNA". It matches the Rfam family "Bacterial small subunit ribosomal RNA", at positions 334 to 607 of the family's 1533-position model. The record is from RNAcentral.